GAUGAACGCUGGCGGCAGGCCUAACACAUGCAAGUCGAACGCCGUAGCAAUACGGAGUGGCAGACGGGUGAGUAACACGUGGGAACGUACCCUUCGGUUCGGGAUAACUCAGGGAAACUUGAGCUAAUACCGGAUACGUCCGAGAGGAGAAAGAUUUAUUGCCGAGGGAUCGGCCCGCGUCUGAUUAGCUUGUUGGUGAGGUAACGGCUUACCAAGGCGACGAUCAGUAGCUGGUCGAGAGGAUGAUCAGCCACAUUGGGACUGAGACACGGCCCAAACUCCUACGGGAGGCAGCAGUGGGGAAUAUUGGACAAUGGGCGCAAGCCUGAUCCAGCAAUACCGCGUGUGCGAUGAAGGUCUUCGGAUUGUAAAGCACUUUCAGUAGGGAAGAUGGUUU
RNAcentral lists this ribosomal RNA (397 nucleotides) under uncultured bacterium. RNAcentral describes it as "bacterial SSU rRNA". It matches the Rfam family "Bacterial small subunit ribosomal RNA", at positions 28 to 454 of the family's 1533-position model. The record is from RNAcentral.